Molecule: ribosomal RNA, 253 nt
Filed under: uncultured bacterium
Lineage: Bacteria
Description: partial 16S ribosomal RNA
Rfam family: Bacterial small subunit ribosomal RNA
Source: RNAcentral
UACAGAGGGGGCAAGCGUUAUUCGGAAUUAUUGGGCGUAAAGGGCGCGUAGGCGGCCUGGCAAGUGACGGGUGAAAUCCCUCGGCUUAACCGAGGAACUGCCUGUCAGACUGCUUGGCUUGAGACCGGGAGAGGUGAGUGGAAUUCCCAGUGUAGCGGUGAAAUGCGUAGAUAUUGGGAGGAACACCAGUGGCGAAGGCGGCUCACUGGACCGGUACUGACGCUGAGGCGCGAAAGCGUGGGGAGCAAACAGG